CAGUAGCCGCGGGAAUACGGAGGGUGCAAGCGUUAAUCGGAAUUACUGGGCGUAAAGCGUGCGUAGGCGGUUCGUUAAGUCUGUUGUGAAAGCCCCGGGCUCAACCUGGGAAUGGCAAUGGAUACUGGCGAGCUAGAGUGUGUCAGAGGAUGGUGGAAUUCCCGGUGUAACGGUGAAAUGCGUAGAGAUCGGGAGGAACAUCAGUGGCGAAGGCGGCCAUCUGGGACAACACUGACGCUGAGGCACGAAAGCGUGGGGAGCAAACAGGAUUAGAUACCCCAGUAGUCCCUGUCUCUUAUAA
RNAcentral lists this ribosomal RNA (301 nucleotides) under uncultured bacterium. RNAcentral describes it as "partial 16S ribosomal RNA". It matches the Rfam family "Bacterial small subunit ribosomal RNA", at positions 509 to 809 of the family's 1533-position model. The record is from RNAcentral.